CCCCCGGGACCGAAGGGUCCGCCACGCCCCGUCCCGAUUUAUAUGAAAAACCACUCUUUUUAUUAAGAUUACUGUCUAACACCGUACAAGUAAGAUAGUUUGGUUGGGGCGACCGCCUUCGAAAAAGUAUCGAAGGCGCACAUAAGAUUAAUCAGGAGAAGGAUCCGAAGGAUCUUUUUCUCGGGAGUAAUGUCCCAAAAAAGGAGAUUAAUUUGACUGAGAGGGCAACAACCCGAACAGACGUCAAAGGAU
RNAcentral lists this ribosomal RNA (252 nucleotides) under Placozoan sp. BMWB41. RNAcentral describes it as "partial 16S ribosomal RNA". Lineage: Eukaryota; Metazoa; Placozoa. The record is from RNAcentral.